UACGUAGGAGACAAGCGUUGUCCGGAAUUACUGGGUGUAAAGCGCGUGUAGGUGGUAGGCCAAGUCUGCUGUGAAAUCGCCCGGCUUAACUGGGCGCGGUCGGUGGAAACUGGUCAACUGGAGGACGGUAGAGGCGAGUGGAAUUCCCGGUGUAGUGGUGAAAUGCGCAGAUAUCAGGAGGAACACCGAUGGCGAAGGCAGGUCUCUGGGCCGAUACUGACGCUGGGGAGCGAAAGCGUGGGGAGCGAACAGG
RNAcentral lists this ribosomal RNA (253 nucleotides) under uncultured bacterium. RNAcentral describes it as "partial 16S ribosomal RNA". It matches the Rfam family "Bacterial small subunit ribosomal RNA", at positions 524 to 776 of the family's 1533-position model. The record is from RNAcentral.